RNAcentral lists this unclassified non-coding RNA (2633 nucleotides) under Hevea brasiliensis (rubber tree). Lineage: Eukaryota; Viridiplantae; Streptophyta; Magnoliopsida; Malpighiales; Euphorbiaceae. The record is from RNAcentral.
UGAAUAUUGGAAUGCCAAGAAAUCAAAUAGAUGUAAAGGACAAGCAUGUUGGAUAACUAAAGGAAGAUGAAGAUGAACCCAUUACAAUUAGUCUAAUUCCAGUCUGGUUUACAAGAGAGAAAACCGUCUGGUUUACGCCAGUUUCAGUCCAGCGGACCAUGGCCAUAUCUAUCAAUAUCUUAUAAAGGAUAAAUGAAUGAAAUUUGAACGGCUGUGCUGGAAACAUUGAAUCAGAUGUUCACCUUUCGCCACUCAACAGAAGCCAAUCUACCCCUAUAACACAUGUUAUUGUUUAAAUAGCACCAAGGAGCAUGUCUUACACUAAAAUUUACUGUUUAUGUAUUGUCUGAAAAAUAUUUUAUAAGUUCCAAUCCAAGUUUCUACAUAAAUAACUGCUAGAGAUUGACAAUAUGCUAUAAUAACACUCUAGUUUUCUCAUCUUCAAAGGAAAUUAGAUGCAUAAAUAUUGAAGCAUAAGCAAGAGUGGAAUCACCCCCAUGAACUAGAAUCACACAGCAAUGCAUAGGAACAAAAUUAAAAUUCAGAGCGUGAUGCUGACUGGGGAGUAAAGAUAUACAUUGCACAGUCAUGAGAAUCAACUCGAGCACCAAAUGAUGCCACUGCAUCUCCUGUAACAUCUUUGUGCUGCCACAAGUUUCGCACUGAGACACUGGUGCCAGAUUCAAGCCCAAGUACAUUCCAUUUAGCUGUAACUGUUGCAGCUUUGGAACAACGAUUCCAGAGAGCAACCACUAAGCGAUUUCCUGACAAAGGACCUGCCCAGACCUGUAGGCAACCAUCAGUUCCAGCAGUGUAAACUUUCCUUCCCUGGACUCCAAGUGGGUCUUGGUUUAUGGCAAUGACCUCCUCAUUUGUUAGAAUCUCAUAAGUUUCUGCUGUCAUGUUUCUCACGUCGCAACCAAUCAAAAGUGGGGCCUGUACAUCUAAGCUCACAAUAAGCAUUAUGGUUUCAAAAGGUCAGAUUUAGCUUGCAUGUCCAAUGCUAAGCUUGUGCAAGUUUGAAAAGAGGCAGAGUUCCCACAUGACCCACAAGGAGCACUAAACAAGUGGCACUUCUACAUAUUCAUGACCAAUUAAAACAUUCAGGCGUCACAAAAGGGUAAGAUAACAACAUGGAAACAUGUCAAAAUGAUAAAAGGAAAAAUAAGCAUGGUUUUUCUGAACCAUACAAUUCUAUCCAACUCAACAAAGCCUUAACCAGAAAUAUAUGGAAUGGACAUCAUGAUAGUUUCUUCACUAGCUCUUAUGAUGGUAUUUUCCAUCAUAUAUAAUCAUUGAUUAGCUUAAAAAAAAAUGGAAUAAAUACGUCAUUAUUGCGCUGGUUAAUCUUUCUGGAUUAGAAAAAGCAUAAAAAUAAUAAUAAAUUAAGGAUAUUUUGCCAAUUCAAUCAUAAAUCCCAAGCUACAUCAGUAAAAGAAGUAGAAUUCAGAGGAGAGACCUUCAUCAAAGCCCAGAUGCUAAAAUGAGCACGAUACUCCUGGUAAGUCAUGCCUCCAUUGCCAACUUCCAACAUAUCUGGAUCAUUCCAUCCACCAGGUCCUGCGUAGGCUGCCCAUUUAUCAUUCAGAUCAGCUAAAGUGGUCAUGCUUGCCCAUGAAUCAUUGAUGUCAUCUGUUGUGCGCCAACUAUUUCCAACUUUCCCAGCCCAUAAGGCAGGGUCAUCGACACCCCAUUCACAAAGUGAAUAGAAAAUUGUACGUCCAGUUGCAUUAAGAGCAUCACGCAUUGGUGGGUACCUUUUUUUUGGUUCAAUGCCCAAAUUGUAACAGUUAUCAUACUUUAGAUAAUCCACAUCCCAAGAAGCAAACAAGUCUGCAUCAUCUUUUUCAUGGUAAAGUGACCCUGGUCGAACUUGACAUGUAAAAAUCCUAUAGAAAUGCAGUUUGGUGAGUCCAAAGAGUGAGUAGAGAUCUAAUUAGCAGUGAUCUAAGGAAUGAUCUAUCUUCCAGCUUCAGAACAAAUGCUGAAAAGUUUAUCCUACCCAGCAUCAGAAUAGAUACCAAGCUUGAGGCCUUUCCCAUGUACAUAAUCCGCAAGAGCUUUGAUUCCCGAUGGAAAUGUUUUUGGAUCAGGGACCAACUGACCCUGUACCUCUCGUGUUGCAGAAGACCAACAAUCAUCUGCAUCCAAUGAAUUGGAAUAAACCUGAAGAGAAUCAAAAAGGCCAAGUAACAGGAAAAAUAAAAAAUAAAAAACUUGAAACAACCAGAGCAUCAUACCUAUGUUGACAUAAACAUAACCUAAAUCAGCCAAGCCAGUUGAAAUAAGUGCAUCAGCUGUUUCCUUGAUGACAGUUUCAUUGAUAUUGCAAGCAAAGAAAUUCCAGCUAUUCCAUCCCAUCUGAGGAGUUCGAGCCAAGCCGUUGUUGAGCUGAAAAAUCCCAUACUUGGAAGUAUCAAAAAUCAUACUAAAAGAUUUGCUAUACCCAAAAUUCCAUUUCUCAUAGCUCUGCAGCAGAGGCUCUUCUCUCCCUGCAACUGCCUCUCGAAUCAGCCAUAAAGAUAGAGAAAGACCCACAAAAUACAGAGAGAAAGAACAGCAUCUCUUCCCCAUGAGCGAAUACAAUCCUUCGAGUUUGUUCUUUUGCUCUUCAAAGCUAUUAUAUCGAAAAU